GCCUGGCGCCUCGCCUGGGCGCCUUGCUCGCCUUUGAUAACACUGGAUUGGGAGCAAGAGUAAUACUAACAAUGAAAAUUUUGAAUAUUUAAAGAGUUAAUUGAAAAUUUUUUUAUUUUAAACGCAACAAAUAACUAUAAUAUUUACAAAGAAUAUGAAAAUUUCAAGAGUAAAUUGAAAAUUAAAUUUAAAAGGAUUAUAACUAAAAAAUAAUAAUAAAUUUUAAAAAUUUCAAUAUUUAGAACAACAUUUUCAAAAUUUAAGCAGCUUAAAUAUAUAUUUUUAUCAAAAAUAAUUAAAAGUAUAAGAGUAUAUAUAGAAGUUUUCCAAGGUUUAGGGGGGACCAAAGAUAUAUUUCUAACAAAAUUUAUAGAAAAUAUAAGGGCUUAAACAAAAAUUUUACAAAGUUUGGAGGAGCCAUGGCCCUCCCAACCAUCAACAUAGUUCCACCCUUGUAUGGCCAGUGCACCAUCUGUAAAGUGCUUCAUGAUAUCUUUUAUAGAUUCGUUCCCCUUAUGAGAGUUUCUGGAAUGUCGUAAAAGGAUUGGAAAACAAUAUCCUGUUUUGAUGGGAAGCCAUUUUUUUUCCAAAAUGGCAGUGUUUCCUUGAUCAAAAAUAGUUUUUUAUUGUCCAAUUUUCCUAUAUAUCCAAAUACCAGAGAAUGAAGAAAAAUAUUUUCUAAGAAAAUGUUAUUGGAGAUUUUUAAAAAAAAAAUAGAGCCCACAGUCUCAAAUACCAAAACGACCUCUUUGGAGAUUGCUCACUUCCAUUUUCUGCCCUAUCAUUUCAGCUAUAUAGGACUUUUGAAUUUAAACCGUCCUUUAAAGAGUGAAAUGCAGUGGAGGAAAGCUACUAUUUCAACCAAAGCUGUAGAUACUACUAAAAACUAACAGUUAAUGGAAGUUUAACUUCUACCUAGAUUUGAACAGGAACUAUAUGGAUGCAAUACGGAAACAAUUUCUAUGAGAUGAGAAGAAAUAUGGUUGACGAAGAGAUAACAGAUCAUGAACAAGACAGACAAUUUCUUCUGAGAUUCAUCCGGAAGAAGACUCAAAAUGUACUCUAAUGUUAGAAUAGAAGGUGUUCCGUCUGGAAAAAUGGGAGCAAGAAAGAAUUGAAGAUAAGAUGCAAAUGCUUUCACAAAAUAUGUGGUGAGCACUACUUCUGUAACUCUUCAACUCUAGGCAUAAAAAAUGUAAGAUAUAUGACAGCUAUUUCCACCAUAUAGCCAUGAAAAUUAGUGGAGCUCAAAUGCUAAACUGUUGCAAUCAAUAUCAAACUUGAGCCAUGAAAUCACUGUUGGAUGAUGUGUCAUAUCAACUGGUGUAUGCAGUGUUCUCAAUAUGGAGGCCUGAACAAUAUAAUUAUACUUCCAGUACUCAUUAACAUCUUGCUUUUAUGUAGCACAGCUUGUAUUAACCAGCUGCUUUUACGUAUUAUAGGCUGAUUAGUUUAUUCUUCUGGUUUCCAACCCUAAUUUCAAGAUUUUCUGGAGUUCAUUGAAUUGAGCCACAUACAGUUGUUUUAGAUCCAUGCACAAAGGAAUCACUAUUAAGUCUACACCCAUCCACUUCUUUAAAUGAGCUCACCUUCAGGUAAUGCAAGAACUCUAGCAAUAUGCAGUAUGAUGAAUAUAAAAUUCUAAAGGAAUGGAAUUGCAAUAAGGUCUGAUUAAACAGGUAUCCUUGAAUUCAAAACAUCUCAUACAAUGAUAUAUAAUGUGUGCGCUUUAAUGCAUGAAUUAAGUCAAAAAUGGAAUUUAAAUGAGAUAAUAUUGCAAUGAUAAAACACACCAGCAGAUAUCAUGAUAUGCAGUGUCGUAUGGAAAUUAAAGCCAAAGAUAACAAACAAACUUGAACUUCUUUGAAACCAUACUUACACAUUAAAUCAUGAGGGGGAGCAA
Molecule: unclassified non-coding RNA, 1903 nt
Filed under: Hevea brasiliensis (rubber tree)
Lineage: Eukaryota; Viridiplantae; Streptophyta; Magnoliopsida; Malpighiales; Euphorbiaceae
Source: RNAcentral